CCCCUGGUAUAGAGCAUGGGCACAUAGAAAAGCCAUCCCUAAAUCUAAUGCUAAAUCUAAUAACAAAGAAAUUGGUCUCCAAAUUGAAACUGAAACCAGGUAGAUCAGUUUAUUCUAUGCAAUCACUUCUGAAAUAAUUGUGUGAGAGACUUCAAAUUCUGUCUCAGAAACAUCAAUUGUGAAGCAAAAUAAUUUAGUUGAAGCCUGUUGUGUACCAUUUUGAGGUUUACAACCAUUACAUACUGCCAGAAGAAUAAUUUGGGGUUCCAACUCAAGCCGGGGUUGCAUAAGACUAAAUAAAAAUGAGAUCCAGAUAGCUGUGAGGAAAGUAGAAAUAUUUAUUCCUAAAAGCAAAAUAAUUUGUUUGUCUGGAAUGGAGAAGCUUGUCUGGAGUGAGAAAGUUCUUUGUGGUGAGAGGCAUGUGUAAAUGUGUGUGGGUGGAUAUGUAUUCUUGCAAAUGUAUAGUUCUAUGGGAAGACUUAAUUUUGUUAACUCUAUUUGUGUUUGCAGACCUUAUCUUUUGAUAUGUGGAUUAGGUCUCAGUGAACUUUUUCAGGGUUUGAGGAAGUUUGCUAAUUUGAUUAACUUGGAGACACUGAUUUUCAGACCUUUGUGGAUUCGGUUAAUAUAUUUAAGGGAAAGAUGGAAACAGUAUAAAGAAUAAAAUAUAUAUGGUUAUAAAAUGUCUCACAAAACCAAGAUAUCCGCUGUGCAAUGUAUUACUUUGAUAAAAUGUUAUCAAAUUAAUGAUAACAGCAUCCAUUGCUCUUAUCUUCACAAUUAUGCAAACUAAGCUAGCUGAGUGAGCUUGAUAGUAACUUUCUCUUUCUGCCUUUCUCUAAAUGAUUCCCCCUUUCACUUCCUUGUCCUCUGAGCUAGAAAAUUUUGUUUUCCCUUCAUAGACCCAGAACUGAUAAGAUGCAGGACCCAGGCAAGUGGGCCAGCAGACCCGGAAUUGAUAAGACACAGGAUCCAGGCAAGUGAGCCAGCAGUUGAUUCUGCAAGAAGUUUUGAUCCAGUUGAUAUUGCCAUGUUACUGCGAUCCAUAAAAGAUCAGUACAACGCAGAGACGGAGGACCAUGUACAGGCAGUUAUUUCAGAGGAAAGCGUAACAA
This is a non-coding RNA of Thamnophis sirtalis, 1115 nucleotides long. The record is from RefSeq and is a predicted model, not a curated record. NCBI's taxonomy places the organism in Eukaryota, Metazoa, Chordata, Lepidosauria, Squamata, Natricidae.